CAGACUUGCAGAGAGGAGCCUCUAGCGUUGACCCAACACUUCCUCCCUCCCUCCACACAGCUGCUUCUGCUUCUGUGUCUGUGCCUCCUCCCCUGACUUGGUAGGAGCCGGGCUGUGUCCCAGAGGAGUAGCCAGAGGAAGCAGGGACACACGGAGGUGCCAGGGAGGGUGGCACAGAAACGGAGUGGAGGAGUGGUGAGGACGCUGCUCGUCUUUCUGCCAAAGGAAAUGACUGAGCCGAAGCACAGUUAUCCUGUUGAAAACCAGCUGUCCACCAUCAGCCAACCCAUGAGAUGUGUGAUGCCAAACGACCGUAGAAUGGUUGAUGUUGAGUUCUUCAGAAACUUCUCAUGUAGUUGUAAGAGGAACAGCUCUGGUGAUCCUCUCAGUUGCAGUGUCAACUUCCAAUGGCUGCCCACUAUGCUGUUCAUCUUCAAGGCUCUCGUCUCCUUUGCAAGACUUCUUGAACCACCACUGCACUGUGUGUUCGUUAGCAGUUCCUGGACCAAACGCAUUGCUGAUGUUGUACAUUGUCUCUGCUGCUUUACAACAAUUUUGGGAGCAUUCUCUUGCUACCUGAAAUUCUAUAUUAUCCAAAUUCAUUGGUGAACCCAGUCAGCCCAAGAGGGACUCCUGAAUGAACACUAAAGAACAUCAAUGCUCCACAACAGGACUGGACUUCCC
Long non-coding RNA from Dama dama (fallow deer), 684 nucleotides. RefSeq lists it as uncharacterized. The record is from RefSeq and is a predicted model, not a curated record. NCBI's taxonomy places the organism in Eukaryota, Metazoa, Chordata, Mammalia, Artiodactyla, Cervidae. The transcript is spliced from 3 exons.